This 253-nucleotide ribosomal RNA is filed under the name uncultured bacterium. RNAcentral's name for it is "partial 16S ribosomal RNA". It matches the Rfam family "Bacterial small subunit ribosomal RNA", at positions 524 to 776 of the family's 1533-position model. The record is from RNAcentral.
UACGUAGGGUGCGAGCGUUGUCCGGAAUUAUUGGGCGUAAAGGGCUCGUAGGCGGUUUGUCGCGUCGGGAGUGAAAACACCGGGCUUAACUCGGUGCUUGCUUUCGAUACGGGCAGACUAGAGGCAUGCAGGGGAGAACGGAAUUCCUGGUGUAGCGGUGAAAUGCGCAGAUAUCAGGAGGAAUACCAGUGGCGAAGGCGGCUUCUUGGCCUGUUCUUGACGCUGAGGCGCGAAAGCUGGGGGAGCAAACGGG